Molecule: ribosomal RNA, 973 nt
Filed under: Staphylococcus aureus
Lineage: Bacteria; Bacillati; Bacillota; Bacilli; Caryophanales; Staphylococcaceae
Description: partial 23S ribosomal RNA
Rfam family: Bacterial large subunit ribosomal RNA
Source: RNAcentral
CCGGGGCUAAACAUAUUACCGAAGCUGUGGAUUGUCCUUUGGACAAUGGUAGGAGAGCGUUCUAAGGGCGUUGAAGCAUGAUCGUAAGGACAUGUGGAGCGCUUAGAAGUGAGAAUGCCGGUGUGAGUAGCGAAAGAUGGGUGAGAAUCCCGUCCACCGAUUGACUAAGGUUUCCAGAGGAAGGCUCGUCCGCUCUGGGUUAGUCGGGUCCUAAGCUGAGGCCGACAGGCGUAGGCGAUGGAUAACAGGUUGAUAUUCCUGUACCACCUAUAAUCGUUUUAAUCGAUGGGGGGACGCAGUAGGAUAGGCGAAGCGUGCGAUUGGAUUGCACGUCUAAGCAGUAAGGCUGAGUAUUAGGCAAAUCCGGUACUCGUUAAGGCUGAGCUGUGAUGGGGAGAAGACAUUGUGUCUUCGAGUCGUUGAUUUCACACUGCCGAGAAAAGCCUCUAGAUAGAAAAUAGGUGCCCGUACCGCAAACCGACACAGGUAGUCAAGAUGAGAAUUCUAAGGUGAGCGAGCGAACUCUCGUUAAGGAACUCGGCAAAAUGACCCCGUAACUUCGGGAGAAGGGGUGCUCUUUAGGGUUAACGCCCAGAAGAGCCGCAGUGAAUAGGCCCAAGCGACUGUUUAUCAAAAACACAGGUCUCUGCUAAACCGUAAGGUGAUGUAUAGGGGCUGACGCCUGCCCGGUGCUGGAAGGUUAAGAGGAGUGGUUAGCUUCUGCGAAGCUACGAAUCGAAGCCCCAGUAAACGGCGGCCGUAACUAUAACGGUCCUAAGGUAGCGAAAUUCCUUGUCGGGUAAGUUCCGACCCGCACGAAAGGCGUAACGAUUUGGGCACUGUCUCAACGAGAGACUCGGUGAAAUCAUAGUACCUGUGAAGAUGCAGGUUACCCGCGACAGGACGGAAAGACCCCGUGGAGCUUUACUGUAGCCUGAUAUUGAAAUUCGGCACAGCUUGUACAGGAUAGGUA